UGUUCUGUGGCUUAGUUGGUUAAAGCGCCGGUCUAGCGAAUACAGAGUCGUGAGCUCAAAUCUCACCAGAGCAC
Molecule: non-coding RNA, 74 nt
Organism: Aedes albopictus (Asian tiger mosquito)
Lineage: Eukaryota; Metazoa; Arthropoda; Insecta; Diptera; Culicidae
Source: Rfam